CACGUCAUCGAAAUGUUGAACUUCCUAAGACUCUAAUCAAGUGACAAUUCAUGAUUAUGCUCGACUAUAAAACUAAUCCAUGAUAAUUAUUCAUCAUAUUCAUACCUAAAGCAAAAAGUAGUCAUAUUUUAUUAAAACAAGAGGUUUAACCAUUUUAAGCUAAUUUAAACAAAAUGUAAAAAUCCUAAUCCCAACAGAAACGGUGUGAGAAAUCUCAGGUCCAAACGUGCCCGUUCACCGCCGGACCACUCGUCGACGACUCCAUUCCGCCGCACACAUCAAUUUCCUCUGCCCAGUGACAUAGCGGAACUACUAGCAGAAGUGAGAAGUCGACUAGCGCCGUCACUGUUAGGACUGAGAGGGAUCUGGAAAGUUUAAAUGUGCCACCUAAUACUGGAGCAUGAAUUCUUUCUGGAAGUAUUAUUCUGAAGAGGAGGUUGCACCCUUUCCAACUAUAUUCAUUGGAGGAAACCAUGAUGCAUCCAAUUACCUUUGGGAGCUGCUCCUUUCAUUAGUUUAGUGACGAUAUUUCCAUUGACGGUGCAGAUGAUAUGGUCCGAACUCAAAGAGAUUGAUCUUCAGAAACUUAGAAGGGUUAAUGUAAAGCUCAUGUUUUGGGGAUUUAUACGGAUUGAUGAUUCUACCACAGGAAAGAGACCAAGUUCAAUUGAUCUUUUUACCUUUGACGCUGCUGCUGGCUUAUCCAAAUUAUUCCAGAGAAGUUUAUAUCUUUCCCUGUAAGCAUGAUUUGUACUUAGACAUAUUUACUUUAAAUUUGUGUUUGGAAUAAUUUGGUUGGCAUAUACUACAGGUUAUUGAAAGCAGUUGUACACCUAUCCUGCUGAAAUUAUUUUGCUAUUGCUUAGGGCUCUAGCUGUUCUUUCAUCAUAUUGUAGCUUCAUUUGUGAAACUAUAGCUAGGCAAGUGGAAGGUCAUAAGUCUUGGAUUCAGGACAAAAGUCUUUUCAGUACUGAAGUGACGCAAUGUCUUGGCUCACCUAGUUGUAUAUUUAGCUCCAAUGAUGAUAAAAUUUUCUCUAGAGUUUUUACCC
Molecule: long non-coding RNA, 1051 nt
Organism: Nicotiana attenuata
Lineage: Eukaryota; Viridiplantae; Streptophyta; Magnoliopsida; Solanales; Solanaceae
Exons: 4
Source: RefSeq, a predicted model, not a curated record